ACUCAAAUGAAUUGACGGGGGCCCGCACAAGCGGUGGAGCAUGUGGUUUAAUUCGAUGCAACGCGAAGAACCUUACCUGGUCUUGACAUCCACGGAAGAAUUCAGAGAUGGAUUUGUGCCUUCGGGAACCGUGAGACAGGUGCUGCAUGGCUGUCGUCAGCUCGUGUUGUGAAAUGUUGGGUUAAGUCCCGCAACGAGCGCAACCCUUAUCCUUUGUUGCCAGCGGUCCGGCCGGGAACUCAAAGGAGACUGCCAGUGAUAAACUGGAGGAAGGUGGGGAUGACGUCAAGUCAUCAUGGCCCUUACGACCAGGGCUACACACGUGCUACAAUGGCGCAUACAAAGAGAAGCGACCUCGCGAGAGCAAGCGGACCUCA
This 377-nucleotide ribosomal RNA is filed under the name Salmonella enterica subsp. enterica. Its description in RNAcentral is "bacterial SSU rRNA". It matches the Rfam family "Bacterial small subunit ribosomal RNA", at positions 899 to 1276 of the family's 1533-position model. The record is from RNAcentral. Lineage: Bacteria; Pseudomonadati; Pseudomonadota; Gammaproteobacteria; Enterobacterales; Enterobacteriaceae.